This is a long non-coding RNA of Aplysia californica (California sea hare), 605 nucleotides long. RefSeq lists it as uncharacterized. The transcript has 2 exons. The record is from RefSeq and is a predicted model, not a curated record. NCBI's taxonomy places the organism in Eukaryota, Metazoa, Mollusca, Gastropoda, Aplysiida, Aplysiidae.
UACACCGGCGGCCGACGUGAGUGAGGCCCGCACGCGCCAAACCGGCCAGUUGCUGGUUGUUCAUUAGACACCGGCUCUUGUCGCGGUCCUGGUCUGUACCCGCGUGUUCUAGUUUCCCGGGGGGACGGGACGGGUGGUUCUAUCUCUAACUGGUACAGUGCGCCGGUAUCAACGUAGCACUGUGUGUGUGUCUGUGUGUGCGUGCAGAAUAAGAACACAACGACGCUUUAGAAUAUGUGUCUUCCGUAAGUAAAUGUCACACACACGCAGGCUGUCUUUCACAAGCGACUGAAGGACUGCUGAAAAUAUACACAUACACUUAAGAGGAAACAUUUCGUAUUCCUAAGCAAUCCCCCCAAAGUGGUAUGCCGUCUCCGUUUAUGUUUCCCUCGGGCAGCAUUUAUUAUUGCGUGAACCAAUACCACCGAUAGUGACACUGAGGGUUGGAGUUGGAGAAAAGUUGUUGCCUCUGUGAAGAAAAGAAGAAACGAUCGGCUUUGACCUGUGUUUGACUUCCUGUGGACGUACUGGAAUACUUACGGCAAAGGCUCCGAGUUUGUGUCUGGUGGCUAGAGUGAGUGGAGUCCUGUGUCGGUCGGAAAGGA